GGUUUGAUUGCGGCUCGACGAACGCUGGCGGAUGCUUUACACAUGCAAGUCGAACGGCACGGAUCGGUCUGGAAAAAGAGUGGCGAACGGGUGAGUGGUGUAUCUGAACGUGUUUGCGGUAGGAUAAUCACGCGAAAGCGUAGCUAAUACCGCAUACGUUCUUCGGGUGGUGCGGGAUUUUCGGCUCGCACAUAGAGCGGUUGAUAUCGGAUUAGUUAGCCAGGGCACGGUACUACCAGGAGAUGAUUCGUGGAAGCUGGUUUGGAGGAGGACGACUCGGCAGCUACAUUUUGACUGAGACAUUGCCCAGAUUUCAUGAGGCGGUGGGGACUUUGGAUUAGCUGGGGAAAAUUCCUGAUUCAGCCAUUCGGGCGUGCGUGAUGUAAAGGCCUUCGGUUGUAAAAGUACUUUUUGGCAGAGAAUGUAUACGACACAUUUCGCAAAUUCGGAUGGUGCUUGCAGAAUAGCAUCAAGCAAUUAUUACGUGCCACAGCAGCCGCAACAUGUAGCAGCAUCGAAUGAUAAGCGGCGUGCAGGCGGUUUUGGAAAGCAGUGAUGUGAAACUCCAGAGCUAACUUUGAAUCGCAUUUUAAUUACCGAGUUAGAGUGUGUCGAGGUGGAGGUGGAAUUCGCGUAGCAGUGAAAUGCGUAGAUAUGCGGAGGAACACCGAUGGCGAAGGCAGCCCCGAGAUAACACUGACGCUCAUACACAAAGCGUGGGAGCAAACAGGAUUAGAUACCCCGGUAGUCCACGCUUCAAACGAUGUCAACUAGCUGUUGGGGCUCUCUGCCUUUGCAGGGCGCAAAGUAUCGCGUGAAGUUGACUGCCCGGGGAGUACGGUCGCAAGAUUAGAACUCAAAGGACCGAUGGACCCGCACAAGCGGUGGAUGAUGUGGAUUAAUCCGAUGAUGCGAAAAUUCCACGACCCUUGACAUGUCUGAACCCGGAAGAGAUUUGGGAGUGCUCGCAAGAGAACUGAACACAGAGCGACGGUCGCCGCCCGUGUCGAGAUGCCGGGUUAAGUCCCGCAACGAGCGCAACCCCGUCAUUAGUUGGUUACGAAAGGCACCUAAUGACUGCCGGUGACAAACCGGAGGAAGGUAGAUGACGUCAAGUCCUCUUGCGGUUCUCUUAUGGUAGGGAGCCACACGUCAUACACUUCUAUGGGGGCAGAGGUCGCCAACCCGAGGGGGAGCCAAUCCCAGAAACCCGAUCGUAGUCCUGAUCGCAGUCUGCAACCUCGGACUGCGUGAAGCCUGGAAUCGGCAGUAAUCGCGGAUCAGCAUGUCGCGGUGAAUACGUUCCCGGUCUUGUACACACCGCUCGUCACACCAUGGAGUGGGUUUUUACCAGCAGUUAGCCUAACCGUAAGGAGGGCGAUUACCACGGUAGAUUCGCGACUGGGUGAAGUCGGCCAAAGGUGGUGCCUGUUACUACC
RNAcentral lists this ribosomal RNA (1439 nucleotides) under uncultured Bordetella sp. RNAcentral describes it as "partial 16S-23S ribosomal RNA intergenic spacer". It matches the Rfam family "Bacterial small subunit ribosomal RNA". Lineage: Bacteria; Pseudomonadati; Pseudomonadota; Betaproteobacteria; Burkholderiales; Alcaligenaceae. The record is from RNAcentral.